Long non-coding RNA from Haliotis rubra (blacklip abalone), 626 nucleotides. RefSeq lists it as uncharacterized. The transcript is spliced from 5 exons. NCBI's taxonomy places the organism in Eukaryota, Metazoa, Mollusca, Gastropoda, Lepetellida, Haliotidae. The record is from RefSeq and is a predicted model, not a curated record.
GCACACUCCUUUGAAAGCACAUGAUUGCAGUCUUGAAAACCUUGAACUGUUAAAUACAGACUGACCUUGUGUUUACCAAGUAUGCAAAUGCAAACAUUAUACAUUAAUACACGUCCAGUCACGUGAUUUUCACAACCGUGUAGUUCCUGGACUGACGUCAGCACCUGCAGUCAAUGAUGGUGGAUGGAUCGAUGGUUUCAGAAAGGUAAGAAAGAACACUCAUCAGAGUGAGUGAGAUCAAGGAACUUACUGGAUUAACACUGUUGUUACAACUGUGACGACGUCAGACACCUGUAUGGAACUGAAGACUUGCUUCAUGCUUGCCCACAAUCUAUCAAAUUGAAUGCAGUUAUGGCCAGUAUAUCAAAUCGGCGUCUACAACAGGGAUAGCACUUGAUGACCCCACGGUGUUUAAAGCCACAGUCAGAACAGGUACCAGGAACUUUGUCUGGGCGCCAUGCAGAACACAUUUGCACUAGGAAUGUGCACUUCUUCUUCAGUCUUGGCAAGGCCUUUGCAAUCUUCCAGGCUGGAUGAGGUUUGAUGGAAGAAUGAAUAUUCAGAAAACGCUUCAGGUCUGGAUCUGACGACGUGCGGUGCAGCCACUUUUCCUUCACCUCUUCCUG